This 468-nucleotide ribosomal RNA is filed under the name uncultured bacterium. Its description in RNAcentral is "partial 16S ribosomal RNA". It matches the Rfam family "Bacterial small subunit ribosomal RNA", at positions 28 to 507 of the family's 1533-position model. The record is from RNAcentral.
GACGAACGCUGGCGGCGUGCUUAGCACAUGCAAGUCGAACGGAAAGGCCCUGCUUUUGUGGGGUGCUCGAGUGGCGAACGGGUGAGUAACACGCGAGUAACCUGCCCUUGACUUUGGGAUAACUUCAGGAAACUGGGGCUAAUACCGGAUAGGAGCUCCUGCUGCAUGGUGGGGGUUGGAAAGAUUCGGCGGUUGGGGCUGGACUCGCGGCUUAUCAGCUUGUUGGUGGGGUAGGGGCUUACCAAGGCUUUGACGGGUAGCCUGCCUGGGAGGGUGGCCGGCCACAUUGGGACUGAGAUACGGACCAGAAUCCUACGGGAGGCAGCAGUGGGGAAUAUUGCACAAUGGGCGGACGCCUGAUGCAGCAACGCCGCGUGCGGGAUGACGGCUUUCGGGUUGUGAACCGCUUUCGCAUGUGACGAAGCGUGAGUGACGGUAAUGGGUAAAGAAGCACCGGCUAACUACGUG